This is a long non-coding RNA of Perognathus longimembris pacificus (Pacific pocket mouse), 2115 nucleotides long. RefSeq lists it as uncharacterized. The record is from RefSeq and is a predicted model, not a curated record. The transcript is spliced from 2 exons. Lineage: Eukaryota; Metazoa; Chordata; Mammalia; Rodentia; Heteromyidae.
GGCGCCUGGCGGGGUCGCGCGGUCCCCGCUCCGAGGGGCUGCGGGAGGGAGCGGCCCGCCCAGGGGCACCGCGGGCGGCCCCGGCGCCGGGCGGACCGCGGCCUUGGGCCCAGCCCGGGUGGUGCGCGCCCUGCUCCGCCUGCCGCCGUGUGACCUUGGGCCUAGCCGGUGGCCCGCGCCGCCGAGACCCGGGCUGCGGGCCGGCAGUGCCCGCCGCUCGCUCCAGCCCGUCUUCUCCUAGGCCCCAGCGCUCCCCCGGAGCGGUCGCCUCUCCCCACCUGGCGCUCACCCGCCUGCCCAGGCGAUGCCGGCCCUGCCAAGUCCGGGAACCGGGCCACUGCGCGACUCUCCAGGGUGCCCUGCCGAUCGAUCCAACAAGCCCCAGUAUGUCCUUUUCCUCCAUUGGGAUUCAUGAGCGUCAUCCAAGAGUACUUAGCAGCAUUAAGGAGCAGAGGACAUGGGAGGCCCUGAAUCCCAACUCCAGCCAAUCAAGGGGCUGGGCACACAGCAUUCCACUAUCUGCUGAACCAAUGACACAAUGAUGACCAUUUGUCCAGCAGUUGUGCAGGAGUCACUUCGCCUGCUGUAGUAUCUCACUAUCCACACCACCAUUCUGCAGGUAUGUGCUAUGAUCCCUGUCACGGGUGAGAAACUGAGAUUCAUAGACGUUAAAGUAUUUGCCCAAAGUCACUCCCAACAGUCAAGGGGCAAGGCCCAGAUUCCACCUCAGGUGACGUUUGGGUACCAACAAAGUACUGGAUGACACAAUUGAAUUUCUCCAGAGACUGGGAAUAGAAGCCCUCUAAGGACAUGACUGGAGACUAUGACACUCUCAGAACAAAGGACUCUGAACAAUCAAUGCAAGGCUCUGAGCAGAAGACCCACAUGACCCAGGAUGCUUCAAAGCCACUGUAAGCAAGUGUACUCUACAGGCCCCAUGAAGCUGGGUUUUAAUCACACUCCUCCGGAGACUCAUGCAGGGCUCUGGAUAAGUUAAUAGCAAAAUGAACCGACAACUGUGGCUACUGUGUACAAAAUGAUGGCAGAAGAGCAAGGACAGAGGCCAGGAGACCAGUGAGAUUGGAACUUGAGGGAAGAAGCUGCACUGACAAAAGCCCUGGCUUUCAGUCUCCCACCUGCUUGUAUCCUUGAAAAUCCAUAAACUGGAGUAUAAUCGCCAAGGUAGUGGCAUCAGGAGAUACUAAGUCUGGAAGGUGGUUAAGUCAUAGAUGAAAUGACUGACUCUGAAAGAGGGCAAAUAAGUCAGGAACUGGUGGCUUACUGCUGUAAUCCUAGCUACUCAGUAGGCUGAGUUCUGAGGGCUGAGAUUCAGUGUCAGCGUGGACAGAAAACCCCAUGAUACUUUUAUCACCAAUUAACCAGCAAAAAGCUGUAAGUGGCUAUGUGACUCAAGUGGACAUUACAUAAUCACUAUCUGCAACUCUUUACUCUUCUAAUUGGUAGCUUUAUUAGGUCUGCAAAAAUAAAACACUGCCGGCUCAUGCCAAUUCCUUGCCCCAAGCAAAAUGAUGGCAGCAGAGGUACUAUCAUACAAGGCACCAAAAUUCUCUACCGAAACUGCAAGAUGUGACAUCGACAUAUAAAUACUUGAGGAUCCCAAAGAAUCAGGCAGCUCUUAGUGCUUGCCCAGAUGAAGCAGGCAGGCCAGUAAGCUGCCAAUGUGAAGUUUCUAAACUAUUUUUUGUUGAUGGUUGUGGUGCUUGAACUCUACAACUUCCAACCCUAUCUGUUCCUGGUUAUCUUGGAGAUGGCAUUUCAAGGUCUUUCCUUGUCCAGCUGACAUAAAUGGUCCUCAGCUCAGCCUCCCGAGUAGCUAGGGUGGUAGGUGUGAGCCCCGAGCUCUUGUGACAGCCAGCUGAAACUCUGGACCUUACUUGACUUCCUCUCACCAUUUGAGCCACAGCUCCUGUUUUCUGCCCCAACCAGCUUCAAACCAUGAUUCUCAGAUCUGUCUCCUGAAUAGUUAGGAUUAUAGGCAUGAGCUCUGAGACCCAAAAACCCUUUGUUAAACGUGACUUAUUCCUAUUUAUUUCACACAAUUUUCCAAGUUUUUGCUUAGUUUUACACAUUAAAAUGUUGUGGUAGGGCUGGGAA